RNAcentral lists this long non-coding RNA (204 nucleotides) under Helianthus annuus (common sunflower). RNAcentral describes it as "hypothetical non coding rna". Lineage: Eukaryota; Viridiplantae; Streptophyta; Magnoliopsida; Asterales; Asteraceae. The record is from RNAcentral.
GGGCAGAGUUUCCUCUGUUUUUGGACGCCCCGGACAACACAAGUUGUCGUUAUGUUUAUCAAAAUUCAACCAAGUUCAAACAAUAUAUAUGUAACUCUCAAAAUAUAUUAAACGUAAACUAUAGUUAACUGGUUCGAGCUCGUUUCACUGAAAAUGAGAGGUCGCGCCGUAAAUCUUUACCGAAUCUUCGUGUCGAAACGCUGA